UACGUAUGGACCAAGCGUUAUCCGGAUUUACUGGGUGUAAAGGGAGCGUAGACGGUAGGGCAAGUCUGAUGUGAAAGCCCGGGGCUCAACCCCGGUACUGCAUUGGAAACUGUCCAACUAGAGUGCAGGAGAGGUAAGUGGAAUUCCUAGUGUAGCGGUGAAAUGCGUAGAUAUUAGGAGGAACACCAGUGGCGAAGGCGGCUUACUGGACUGUAACUGACGUUGAGGCUCGAAAGCGUGGGGAGCAAACAGGAUUAGAUACC
Molecule: ribosomal RNA, 263 nt
Filed under: uncultured bacterium
Lineage: Bacteria
Description: partial 16S ribosomal RNA
Rfam family: Bacterial small subunit ribosomal RNA
Source: RNAcentral